RNAcentral lists this non-coding RNA (132 nucleotides) under Flavimaricola marinus. Its description in RNAcentral is "Loktanella marina Alphaproteobacterial ar14". It matches the Rfam family "Alphaproteobacterial ar14". Rfam says of the family: Smr14C2 was renamed NfeR1 (Nodule Formation Efficiency RNA) highly expressed in salt stress and during the symbiotic interaction on legume roots. Lineage: Bacteria; Pseudomonadati; Pseudomonadota; Alphaproteobacteria; Rhodobacterales; Paracoccaceae. The record is from Rfam by way of RNAcentral.
AGAAUUCGGACGCUCUCUCCUCCUCCCUGAGCGUUCGUUGACUGGAGCGGCGGCAUCUCUCCUCCUCCCUGAUGCCGCCGCACCAACAUAGAAUUCGGGCGCUCUCUCCUCCUCCCUGAGCGCUCGUUGACU